AAAAACUAGAGGAUAAAUUAUGUAUGUCUACUUGUUCCAAUAAAUUUCAUUGGAGGUGAACUAACAUUAUUUAAAAGGGGGUACAAAUAACAAAAACUAGAAGUAAUUUUUUAAUAUUUAUAUAUAUUACUAUUGGUUUUUAAAAAAAAAUUGAGGGUACAACCCCAUUGCACUAUAUUGGAUCCGCAUAAGUGAGAUUUGAUGAGCAUGGAAGAAAACGGAGAGGGAGGCGAUGAUAGAGUUGGCAUUAAUUAAUCCUCAUCUCUUAAUUCCAUACAAGAUGGGAAAAUUUCAUCUCUCCCACAGGUUGGUAUUGGCACCAAUGUCAAGAUUGAGGUCAUACAACUUCACAGCACAGCCACAUGCAGCUCUCUACUACUCAUAGAGGAUACAAAGGCUGGAUUCUUCAUUUCCGAAGCUUCUGGAGUUUCUACCACUGCUCAAGGAUAUAUAAUAAUACACACAGACACAGUGUCUCUAUAUCAUGAGAUAUAUAUGAUCUAGAUUAUGAAUAAGUCUGUGUUACAUUUGAAACAAGGUCCCUUGUUUACUGAAUUGAAGCUUUCAGAUAUUUAAGAGUCAA
Salvia miltiorrhiza (redroot sage) is the source of this 583-nucleotide long non-coding RNA. RefSeq lists it as uncharacterized. The transcript is spliced from 2 exons. NCBI's taxonomy places the organism in Eukaryota, Viridiplantae, Streptophyta, Magnoliopsida, Lamiales, Lamiaceae. The record is from RefSeq and is a predicted model, not a curated record.